RNAcentral lists this long non-coding RNA (871 nucleotides) under Heterocephalus glaber (naked mole-rat). Its description in RNAcentral is "lncRNA (ENSHGLG00000049447.1)". Lineage: Eukaryota; Metazoa; Chordata; Mammalia; Rodentia; Bathyergidae. The record is from RNAcentral.
GCUGGACACAGACCACACCCAGCAGUCCCUUUGCCUGUCCCCAAAUUGUGGAAAUUUUUUCCUUCUGUUUUUUGGUACUGGGGAUCGAACUCGGGUCCUUGCGCUUGCACAGCAGGUGGCGAAACCACUGAGCUAAAUCCCCAGCCCUGGAAAUUUUUUCUUAAUAGGUGAGCUAAACCAAAUUAAACAGGUUUCUUUCCUGGCAGAUAUCUUUGGUUAACAUGUUAAUGUGUACGUAAGGGGUGUGUUAAACAACCUGGUUUCAUAACAUACCCGAAAUUCAACUUUUCUUUUUUGUUUCCUACAGGCCUCAUAAAGCUUAUAAGCAAAGAAAAUCUUCCCUUUCCAGGAAGCAAAGUCUGGUAGACAUAGGGAUUGUCAAGCACCCAUGUCUCACAGAAUCCUCCAGCAUGCUGGCCACUUGGCACAACAUCCUCAUGGCAAUAUGUGGAUGUUGUGUGAGCUGUAGGAGCUUUCCUAUCAUCUGUUUUAGGUAUACACUGCUAUUAGAGGGCACUUGUUAGAGAAUGAAUUACAACCUCUUGAAAGCUAUUUUUUGUUUUGUGGUGCGGAGGAUCAGUCCAGUGCCUCAUGUGUGUUAGCAGGCACUCUACCACUGAGCUGUACCUCUAGUUCACUCUGCCCUCUGAAAAGUCUUAAAUCUCCAGUUCCUCAGAAUGUAACCGUGUUUGGACAUAAAGGCCUUCAGUGAGGCAAUUUACAUGAGAUGAAGACAUUAGUGUGGGCCUGAAUCUAAUGUGACCAGUGUCCCUAGGACAGGAGAUUAGGACACAGACACAGAGAGGGACAACCAUGUGAAGACAUAGAAAGAUGGCAUCUGGAAGCCCAGGACAGGCCUUGGGAGAAGGCA